Small nuclear RNA from Ursus americanus (American black bear), 105 nucleotides. Lineage: Eukaryota; Metazoa; Chordata; Mammalia; Carnivora; Ursidae. The record is from Ensembl.
AUGCUUGCUUCAGCAGCACAUAUCCUAAAAUUGGAUGAUACAGAGAAAUUAACAUGGCCCCUACACAAGGAUGACGUGCAAAUUGGUGAAGCAUUACAUGAUAGA